Molecule: ribosomal RNA, 497 nt
Filed under: uncultured bacterium
Lineage: Bacteria
Description: partial 16S ribosomal RNA
Rfam family: Bacterial small subunit ribosomal RNA
Source: RNAcentral
GAUGAACGCUGGCGGCGUGCCUAAUACAUGCAAGUCGAGCGAACGGACGAGAAGCUUGCUUCUCUGAUGUUAGCGGCGGACGGGUGAGUAACACGUGGAUAACCUACCUAUAAGACUGGGAUAACUUCGGGAAACCGGAGCUAAUACCGGAUGAUAUUUUGAACCGCAUGGUUCAAAAGUGAAAGACGGUCUUGCUGUCACUUAUAGAUGGAUCCGCGCUGCAUUAGCUAGUUGGUAAGGUAACGGCUUACCAAGGCAACGAUGCAUAGCCGACCUGAGAGGGUGAUCGGCCACACUGGAACUGAGACACGGUCCAGACUCCUACGGGAGGCAGCAGUAGGGAAUCUUCCGCAAUGGGCGAAAGCCUGACGGAGCAACGCCGCGUGAGUGAUGAAGGUCUUCGGAUCGGAAAACUCUGUUAUUAGUGAAGAACAUAUGUGGAAGUAACUGUGCACAUCUUGACGGUACCUAAUCAGAAAGCCACGGCUAACUACGGG